UUGGAGGGCAAGUCUGGUGCCAGCAGCCGCGGUAAUUCCAGCUCCAAUAGCGUAUAUUAAAGUUGUUGCAGUUAAAAAGCUCGUAGUUGAAUUUCGGGAUCAGUUGAUCGGUCGUGCCUCGGUACGUACUGGUCAAAUUGAUUCCUACCUUCUGACGAACCACGAUGUCAUUAAUUUGGUGUCGUGGGAAGUCAGGACUGUUACUUUGAAAAAAUUAGAGUGUUUAAAGCAGACUCGCGCUUGAAUACAUUAGCAUGGAAUAAUGAAAUAGGACGUUUGAUUCUAUUUUGUUGGUUUCUAGGAUCGACGUAAUGAUUAAUAGGGAUAGUUGGGGGCAUUAGUAUUCAAUUGUCAGAGGUGAAAUUCUUGGAUUUAUUGAAGACUAACUACUGCGAAAGCAUUUGCCAAGGAUGUUUUCAUUAAUCAAGAACGAAAGUUGGGUGAUCGAAGACGAUCAGAUACCGUCGUAGUCUUAACCAUAAACUAUGCCGACUAGGGAUCGGAUGAUGUUAAUUUUUUAAUGACUCAUUCGGCGCCUUACGGGAAACCAAAGUGUUUGGGUUC
This 564-nucleotide ribosomal RNA is filed under the name uncultured Glomeromycotina. Its description in RNAcentral is "SSU rRNA". It matches the Rfam family "Eukaryotic small subunit ribosomal RNA", at positions 548 to 1114 of the family's 1831-position model. Lineage: Eukaryota; Fungi; Glomeromycota. The record is from RNAcentral.